GGGCGAUGAUUAUACCUUACCCGCGCUUCUGACAUUAAAUCAUGAAGCAUACGGGGGAAAAAUGGUUGAAUUUCUUGAUAUGAGCCC
Molecule: small nucleolar RNA, 87 nt
Organism: Zingiber officinale
Lineage: Eukaryota; Viridiplantae; Streptophyta; Magnoliopsida; Zingiberales; Zingiberaceae
Source: RefSeq, a predicted model, not a curated record